AAUAAUCACUAUGUACUUUAACAUUCCAUGGCUAGUACUCCACUUAAUAUCAGUCAAAAUAUACUUUAAUCAUAAUCCAAAAUACAAAUUACUCCAUCGAGAAAUCUCCAAACUAGCUUAUUCUUAUUUUGGCAUGGCUCGCUACCAUUCUGUUUGAAAACACCAAAAUUUUUUUUUUAUAGUCUUGAAUUCUGAUACCAUACCUGUCAUAAUCAUGCUCCUAGAAUGAUUUUGUAUUAGUCUUAACUUCUUUCUUUUUG
Molecule: long non-coding RNA, 260 nt
Filed under: Phoenix dactylifera (date palm)
Lineage: Eukaryota; Viridiplantae; Streptophyta; Magnoliopsida; Arecales; Arecaceae
Description: long non-coding RNA (PDAC_LNC020677)
Source: RNAcentral